RNAcentral lists this ribosomal RNA (301 nucleotides) under uncultured bacterium. Its description in RNAcentral is "partial 16S ribosomal RNA". It matches the Rfam family "Bacterial small subunit ribosomal RNA", at positions 509 to 807 of the family's 1533-position model. The record is from RNAcentral.
CAGCAGCCGCGGGAAUACGAAGGGUGCAAGCGUUAAUCGGAAUUACUGGGCGUAAAGCGUGCGUAGGCGGUUUGUUAAGUCUGCUGUGAAAUCCCCGGGCUCAACCUGGGAAUGGCAGUGGAUACUGGCAAGCUAGAGUGUGUCAGAGGAUGGUGGAAUUCCCGGUGUAGCGGUGAAAUGCGUAGAGAUCGGGAGGAACAUCAGUGGCGAAGGCGGCCAUCUGGGACAACACUGACGCUGAGGCACGAAAGCGUGGGGAGCAAACAGGAUUAGAUACCCCUGUAGUCCCUGUCUCUUAUAC